RNAcentral lists this ribosomal RNA (443 nucleotides) under uncultured bacterium. Its description in RNAcentral is "bacterial SSU rRNA". It matches the Rfam family "Bacterial small subunit ribosomal RNA", at positions 337 to 797 of the family's 1533-position model. The record is from RNAcentral.
UCCUACGGGGGGCAGCAGUAGGGAAUCUUGCGCAAUGGGCGAAAGCCUGACGCAGCCAUGCCGCGUGAAUGAUGAAGGUCUUAGGAUUGUAAAAUUCUUUCACCGGGGAAGAUAAUGACGGUACCCGGAGAAGAAGCCCCGGCUAACUUCGUGCCAGCAGCCGCGGUAAUACGAAGGGGGCUAGCGUUGCUCGGAAUUACUGGGCGUAAAGGGCGCGUAGGCGGAUAUUUAAGUCGGGGGUGAAAGCCCGGGGCUCAACCUCGGAAUUGCCUUCGAUACUGGAUAUCUUGAGUUCGGGAGAGGUGAGUGGAAUGCCGAGUGUAGAGGUGAAAUUCGUAGAUAUUCGGCGGAACACCAGUGGCGAAGGCGACUCACUGGCCCGAUACUGACGCUGAGGCGCGAAAGCGUGGGGAGCAAACAGGAUUAGAUACCCCCGUAGUCCC